UCCAGAGGUUUCCUGCAGCCUCACCAGGGCAUGGCUGGGACUUCAGAGCUUCCCAGAGGGGAAAAAAAAUAAAAUUCCUCUUGAAAUGGUUUUGGACAGGUGUAAUAAAUAAAUAUAAACGAUGGAAUCAAGCUCUGGGCUUUAUCCUUGCAAGCCCAUGCCAGGGAACAUUUCAUGGAAUAAGGGGUGACAUCUUCCUCAGGGAGAAGAGGGAUGAGGUGAAUUCUCUGCACAAAAGGUGCCUGUAAAAGCAUCAUAAACCCUGGAAUGAAAGCUGCAGUCUGACAGCACACACCUCAUCUUGAGAGAGACAGGAGAAGGGAGAUUGGUUUCCUCUGACUCAGAGAAAAUAUUUCCUGAUCAGCUCCUUCUCAACUCUGCCCCCACUGACCCUGGCUCAGCCCUGACAGCAACCAAAGAGAAAAAUCAGAUUAUUUGUUAUGAACCAGGGGGGCAGCAGAGAGAUCUGCAAUCCUCCCUACAUAAAAUCACCCCUCAUUUUCAAUCCUGCUGAUCACUUUUGAAAGACAAAGCAAACACCUUUGAAAUGUGGCUUGGAUUUCUUGCCAGGAAAUGCCCAGAAUUUUACAGCUGAGAGCUCCAUCCCAGGAUGGUUGUGGAUGUCUGAGCCCUGAUGUUGGAGUGGGAUCACAGCUGGAAUGUUGUCCCUCAGGCAGGUGGAAUGUUGUCACCAAACCCUCAGAGCUCAAUCCUCUCACCCCAGCAGGAACUGGGAAAAAACAGGUGAAAAAAAAUAGGAAUAUUUCCAAGUGGGAAUGAAAAGAAAUGGAAGAUCCCAAAGCCAGCAGACUGGAAUCAGCACAAAUGUGCAAAAUCCUGCUUUAAAGGGAUCAUUGCUGCCAGGCAUCCCUUGGAUGUGAGCUGUGCCCACUCUGGAGCUUUGGAGAAAGGCCUGAAGUGCCAGGAAAAGAGGGAAUGGCUCCAAGCUUCCAGUGAGCUGGGAUUUUGGGAAGUGGGAACAGCCCUUGCUGGGGGAUUUUGGGAAGCCCUGGGAUUUUGGGAAGUGGGAACAGCCCUUGCUCACAUGGCAGCUGCAGGGACAGCCCUGAAAUUGCCUUUUCCCAAAGAUAUUGGGGUGAGAAAUGAUCCAGCAGUAGGUUUGGAUGGGGAAUCAAUCCUUCCAUGGAAAUCCUCCCCAGUUUCUCCCAGGACACCCAUCCUGGCAGAGCAGGGGGAACAGCAGCUCCUGAGCUCCUGACUCCUUCUGUGUCCUGUUUCUCCCCAUUUCCAAGCUGGAAAAUCCUUGGUGGCAAUGUCUGCAGGCCAUAAUGGCCAAAUAAAGACUUUUAAAAUGAAAUCUUGAAAUUAUAGAGACAUUUUCCUUUAUUUUUUUCACUCCAGAAGUCAGUGUCUGCAUUUCCCCAAAGCACAGAGCUCCA
Serinus canaria (Common canary) is the source of this 1400-nucleotide long non-coding RNA. RefSeq lists it as uncharacterized. Lineage: Eukaryota; Metazoa; Chordata; Aves; Passeriformes; Fringillidae. The transcript has 3 exons. The record is from RefSeq and is a predicted model, not a curated record.